This 464-nucleotide ribosomal RNA is filed under the name uncultured bacterium. Its description in RNAcentral is "bacterial SSU rRNA". It matches the Rfam family "Bacterial small subunit ribosomal RNA", at positions 8 to 518 of the family's 1533-position model. The record is from RNAcentral.
AGAGUUGAUCAUGGCUCAGAACGAACGCUGGCGGCAGGCCUAACACAUGCAAGUCGAGCGCGCCCUUCGGGGUGAGCGGCGGACGGGUUAGUAACGCGUGGGAACGUACCCUUUGGUAGGGAAUAGCCACUGGAAACGGUGAGUAAUACCCUAUGAGCCCUUCGGGGGAAAGAUUUAUCGCCAAAGGAUCGGCCCGCGUUAGAUUAGGUAGUUGGUGGGGUAAUGGCCUACCAAGCCUACGAUCUAUAGCUGGUUUUAGAGGAUGAUCAGCAACACUGGGACUGAGACACGGCCCAGACUCCUACGGGAGGCAGCAGUGGGGAAUCUUGGACAAUGGGGGCAACCCUGAAUCCAGCCAUGCCGCGUGAGUGAAGAAGGCCUUAGGGUCGUAAAGCUCUUUCGCCUGUGAAGAUAAUGACGGUGGCAGGUAAAGAAACCCCGGCUAACUCCGUGCCAGCAGCCGC